AUCAUUAAGGACAAAAUGAACAUUUCAUAUCAGUUUGUUGGGUAGGUCUGAAUUGAUAUGAUGCAGGGAGAAUCAGUCCAAAAUUAAAAGGCUAAGGUCCAAUGGAAGCCCAAACGAAAAUUACAAAGACAAUACACUGAAAAGGGACACCAGACCCAAUACAAAAAAUAAAGAUAUAGGUUCUUCUUGCACCCACCGGGUGCUAAAAUUUCCAUUAGACCCUUAACAAAAAAAAACCCUCAAGCAACCCCAUCAUCUCUUCUCUUCUCUGCUUUCUCCAUGUACCAGUCCCACCAUCCAAAACUCAGCUGCAUAAAUGUAAACAGUAGACAAUAUCUUCUUCUGAGAGUAACAAACAAUAUUGACAAACAGGUUAAAAUACAAAAUUAUGUUAAGAAUUCUAUGGUUCAAAAUUAUGUUAGAAUACCCUUACCUGCUUAUGAGUAGAGCAAUGUUUAACGAAACAAAUACUUCAUGAGGCCCCUAAUUGAAAGAGACGCACACCUUUACCACUAGUUACCCAUUUACCUAAAUUAUGUUCCCCUCUUAAAUAGCCAUGGCCAACUCAAUCCUCAAACUAGUGCAGAGUCCUCAAAUUUUGAACUUGUCUUCUGUAAAGUGGACAAGCAAGAGCUUUACAUACAAAAGCAUGCCCAUAUGAUUCAUUUUCAUGAAACUUUAGCAUUUUUUCUUGCUGAUUUGGACCAUGCCACCUAAACCCUCAUUAAAGAGCAUGAUCCUUAUGAUGUAUAUAUAAGUGGCUUCUAUCAUCUAGGAGACACAUCAACAAGUCUACUUGCUCCUCAACUUCAAGCGCAAGUUCUUAUCAAGGUGAAAAAUCUUGCAAAAUGGCUAAUGAAGAUAAGGUGAAUACUCAACUUAUCUUGG
This 888-nucleotide long non-coding RNA is filed under the name Phaseolus vulgaris (common bean). RNAcentral describes it as "long non-coding RNA (PVUL_LNC001289)". Lineage: Eukaryota; Viridiplantae; Streptophyta; Magnoliopsida; Fabales; Fabaceae. The record is from RNAcentral.